RNAcentral lists this transfer RNA (75 nucleotides) under Streptococcus pneumoniae. RNAcentral describes it as "tRNA-Asp(gtc)". It matches the Rfam family "tRNA". From Rfam's summary of the family: Transfer RNA (tRNA) molecules are approximately 80 nucleotides in length. Their secondary structure includes four short double-helical elements and three loops (D, anti-codon, and T loops). The record is from RNAcentral. Lineage: Bacteria; Bacillati; Bacillota; Bacilli; Lactobacillales; Streptococcaceae. RNAcentral also lists the same sequence under 3 other names.
GGUCCCGUGGUGUAGUGGUUAACAUGCCUGCCUGUCACGCAGGAGAUCGCCGGUUCGACCCGGUCGGGACCGCCA